This 1424-nucleotide long non-coding RNA is filed under the name Homo sapiens (human). Its description in RNAcentral is "HSALNT0293604". Lineage: Eukaryota; Metazoa; Chordata; Mammalia; Primates; Hominidae. The record is from RNAcentral.
GAACGUCUGGGAGCCAGGGCCGCAAGCGGCACUCAGGGGCCUGCGCGGGUUCGGGUGGGCCGGGCUCAGAAGGCCCCGCGCUCAGCGCAGCCAGCCGGUGCCUGCUGGGCUUGAUCAGGAGAUGAGUUCCCUCUGGGCUGCCAGAGUGCCUGGGCUAGGUGCUGCAAAGUCCUAUAGCGACUGCCAUUGAGAAGUGAAGCCGGCUAGGCUUCUGGGUCAGGUGAGGACCUGAAGAACGUUUCUGUCUAGCUGAAGGUUUGUAAACGCACCAAUCAGUGCUUUGUCAAAACGGACCCAUCAGCUCUCUGUAAAACGGACCAAUCAGCUCUCUGUAAAAUGGACCAAUCAGCUCUCUAUAAAAUGGACCAAGCAGUAGGAUGUGGGUGGGGCCAGAUAAGGGAACGAAAGCAGGCCUCCCAAGCCAGGAGCGGCAAACUGCUGGGAUCCAUUUCCAUGCUGUGGACUCUUUGUGCUUUGCUCUUUGCAGUAAAUCUUGCUGCUGCUCACUUUUUGGGUCUGCACCACCUUUAUGAGCUGUAACACUCACCGCGAAGGUCUGCAGCUUUACACCUGAAGCCAGGGAGACCACGAACUCAUCAGGAGGAACGAACAACUCCAGACGCGCGGCCUUUAAGAGCUGUAACACUCAACGCGAAGGUCUGCAGCUUCACUCUUGAAGUCAGCGAAACCGCAAACCCACCAGAAGGAAGAAACUCCGGACACAUCUGAACACCUGAAGGAACAAACCCCGGACACACCAUCUCUAAGAACUGUAACACUCACCGCCAGGGUCCGCGGCUUCAUUCUUGAAUCAGUGAGACCAAGAACCCACCAAUUCCAGACACAGAAGAUGAUCCUCAAUCAAUCACUUAAAGGCCUGAAUAGAACCAAAAGUCUGACCUGCCCAUGAGUAACAGAGAGCUCCUUCUGCCUGAUUGCUUCAGCUGAGAUAUCGGCCUUUCCCUGCCUUUGGAAUUGAACUGCAACACUGGCUCUUCUUGGGCCUCAAGACUGCCAGCUUUUGAACUGUAACCACACUAUCAUCUCUCCUGGUUCUCAGGCCUUUGGACUCAAAUCAGAAGCAUACCAGGGGCUCUCCUACAUCUCCAACUUGCUAACUGUGAUCUUGAGACUUCUUAGCCUCCAUAAUCACAUGAGUCAAUUGUUGGUUCUGCUUCUCUGGAGAACCCUAAUCCAUCACUCUACAUCUUUGUUCCAUUAUACAUAUUGCUUCCCAGCAUAUUAAAUAAUUUAUCGAUUAUAUUUUUGGUUUAUUAUUUAUUUCUCCUACUGGAAUGUAAGUUUCACAGAGCUCUUGUUCAUUGCUAGAUCUCAAGCCUGGCAUCUAGUAGGUAUUCAGCAAAUAGCUGUUGAAAGAUGAAAAAAUAAAUCUAAUCUGCCAAGUGGAGGUAGGUACUGCGAAG